CAAAAUGUAGCUUAACCCAAAGCAUUCAGCUUACACCUGAAAGAUGUUUAUCACAAAAUCAUUUUGA
This 67-nucleotide transfer RNA is filed under the name Zaglossus bruijni (long-beaked echidna). RNAcentral describes it as "transfer RNA-Val". It matches the Rfam family "tRNA". From Rfam's summary of the family: Transfer RNA (tRNA) molecules are approximately 80 nucleotides in length. Their secondary structure includes four short double-helical elements and three loops (D, anti-codon, and T loops). The record is from RNAcentral. Lineage: Eukaryota; Metazoa; Chordata; Mammalia; Monotremata; Tachyglossidae.